Molecule: ribosomal RNA, 1534 nt
Filed under: Escherichia coli
Lineage: Bacteria; Pseudomonadati; Pseudomonadota; Gammaproteobacteria; Enterobacterales; Enterobacteriaceae
Description: bacterial LSU rRNA
Rfam family: Bacterial large subunit ribosomal RNA
Source: RNAcentral
AUGCGUUGUUGGGUAGGGGAGCGUUCUGUAAGCCUGUGAAGGUGUGCUGUGAGGCAUGCUGGAGGUAUCAGAAGUGCGAAUGCUGACAUAAGUAACGAUAAAGCGGGUGAAAAGCCCGCUCGCCGGAAGACCAAGGGUUCCUGUCCAACGUUAAUCGGGGCAGGGUGAGUCGACCCCUAAGGCGAGGCCGAAAGGCGUAGUCGAUGGGAAACAGGUUAAUAUUCCUGUACUUGGUGUUACUGCGAAGGGGGGACGGAGAAGGCUAUGUUGGCCGGGCGACGGUUGUCCCGGUUUAAGCGUGUAGGCUGGUUUUCCAGGCAAAUCCGGAAAAUCAAGGCUGAGGCGUGAUGACGAGGCACUACGGUGCUGAAGCAACAAAUGCCCUGCUUCCAGGAAAAGCCUCUAAGCAUCAGGUAACAUCAAAUCGUACCCCAAACCGACACAGGUGGUCAGGUAGAGAAUACCAAGGCGCUUGAGAGAACUCGGGUGAAGGAACUAGGCAAAAUGGUGCCGUAACUUCGGGAGAAGGCACGCUGAUAUGUAGGUGAAGUCCCUCGCGGAUGGAGCUGAAAUCAGUCGAAGAUACCAGCUGGCUGCAACUGUUUAUUAAAAACACAGCACUGUGCAAACACGAAAGUGGACGUAUACGGUGUGACGCCUGCCCGGUGCCGGAAGGUUAAUUGAUGGGGUCAGCGCAAGCGAAGCUCUUGAUCGAAGCCCCGGUAAACGGCGGCCGUAACUAUAACGGUCCUAAGGUAGCGAAAUUCCUUGUCGGGUAAGUUCCGACCUGCACGAAUGGCGUAAUGAUGGCCAGGCUGUCUCCACCCGAGACUCAGUGAAAUUGAACUCGCUGUGAAGAUGCAGUGUACCCGCGGCAAGACGGAAAGACCCCGUGAACCUUUACUAUAGCUUGACACUGAACAUUGAGCCUUGAUGUGUAGGAUAGGUGGGAGGCUUAGAAGUGUGGACGCCAGUCUGCAUGGAGCCGACCUUGAAAUACCACCCUUUAAUGUUUGAUGUUCUAACGUUGACCCGUAAUCCGGGUUGCGGACAGUGUCUGGUGGGUAGUUUGACUGGGGCGGUCUCCUCCUAAAGAGUAACGGAGGAGCACGAAGGUUGGCUAAUCCUGGUCGGACAUCAGGAGGUUAGUGCAAUGGCAUAAGCCAGCUUGACUGCGAGCGUGACGGCGCGAGCAGGUGCGAAAGCAGGUCAUAGUGAUCCGGUGGUUCUGAAUGGAAGGGCCAUCGCUCAACGGAUAAAAGGUACUCCGGGGAUAACAGGCUGAUACCGCCCAAGAGUUCAUAUCGACGGCGGUGUUUGGCACCUCGAUGUCGGCUCAUCACAUCCUGGGGCUGAAGUAGGUCCCAAGGGUAUGGCUGUUCGCCAUUUAAAGUGGUACGCGAGCUGGGUUUAGAACGUCGUGAGACAGUUCGGUCCCUAUCUGCCGUGGGCGCUGGAGAACUGAGGGGGGCUGCUCCUAGUACGAGAGGACCGGAGUGGACGCAUCACUGGUGUUCGGGUUGUCAUGCCAAUG